AGCUCCAAUAGCGUAUAUUAAAGUUGUUGCAGUUAAAAAGCUCGUAGUUGAAUUUCUGAUAGAAGGGAGCGGUUCCGCAUUCUUGCGGAUACUGGCUCGUCUUCCGUCAUCCUUGGGCUUAGUCUCGCUGAUAUUAACUUAUCGGCGUUUACCAUGCCCAUCGUUUACUGUGAGCAAAUUAGAGUGUUCAAAGCAGGCAUUUUGCCAUUGAAUAUAUUAGCAUGGAAUAAUAAGAUAGGAUUUCACGAUUUUAUUUUGUUGGUUUGCGUUGUGAAAUAAUGAUUAAGAGGGACAGUUGUGGGUAUUCGUAUUCAGAUGUCAGAGGUGAAAUUCUUAGAUUAUCGGAAGACGAACGACUGCGAAAGCAUUUACCAAGGAUGUUUUCA
RNAcentral lists this ribosomal RNA (386 nucleotides) under uncultured marine Chaetocerotaceae. RNAcentral describes it as "SSU rRNA". It matches the Rfam family "Eukaryotic small subunit ribosomal RNA", at positions 587 to 972 of the family's 1831-position model. Lineage: Eukaryota; Bacillariophyta; Thalassiosirophyceae; Chaetocerotales; Chaetocerotaceae. The record is from RNAcentral.